UGUUGUGGUGGUUUCUGUAUCUGGCAGAUCUGUAACUGUAACAGAGCGGCCUUGAACUACCACAAAGAUCAGAAAGGAGGAUGAGUGUUCUGAGAACUCUUUCAGGCUCUUAGUUUUCAGUUUUUUGUUCAACUCCUACAGAA
This is a small nucleolar RNA of Dromaius novaehollandiae (emu), 143 nucleotides long. Lineage: Eukaryota; Metazoa; Chordata; Aves; Casuariiformes; Dromaiidae. The record is from Ensembl.